This is a long non-coding RNA of Oncorhynchus keta (chum salmon), 1331 nucleotides long. RefSeq lists it as uncharacterized. The transcript is spliced from 3 exons. Lineage: Eukaryota; Metazoa; Chordata; Actinopteri; Salmoniformes; Salmonidae. The record is from RefSeq and is a predicted model, not a curated record.
AGUGAAUGACUGACUGUUAGUGAAUGACUGACUGUUGGUCAAUGACUGACUGUUUGUGAAUGACUGACUGUUAGUGAAUGACUGACUGUUGGUGAAUGACUGACUGUUGGUGAAUGACUGACUGUUGGUGAAUGACUGACUGUUAGUGAAUGACUGACUGUUGGUGAAUGACUGACUGUUAGUGAAUGACUGACUGUUAGUGAAUGACUGACUGUUAGUGAAUGACUGACUGUUGGUGAAUGACUGACUGUUGGUGAAUGACUGACUGUUAGUGAAUGACUGACUGUUAGUGAAUGACUGACUGUUAGUGAAUGACUGACUGUUAGUGAAUGACUGACUGUUGGUGAAUGACUGACUGUUGGUCAAUGACUGACUGUUAGUGAAUGACUGACUGUUGGUGAAUGACUGACUGUUAGUGAAUGACUGACUGUUGGUGAAUGACUGACUGUUAGUGAAUGACUGACUGUUAGUGAAUGACUGACUGUUAGUGAAUGACUGACUGUUGGUCAAUGACUGACUGUUAGUGAAUGACUGACUGUUAGUGAAUGACUGACUGUUAGUGAAUGACUGACUGUUGGUCAAUGACUGACUGUUAGUGAAUGACUGACUGUUAGUGAAUGACUGACUGUUAGUGAAUGACUGACUGUUAGUGAAUGACUGACUGUUAGUGAAUGACUGACUGUUGGUGAAUGACUGACUGUUGAUGAAUGACUGACUGUUAGUGAAUGACUGACUGUUAGUGAAUGACUGACUGUUGGUCAAUGACUGACUGUUAGUGAAUGACUGACUGUUGGUGAAUGACUGACUGUUGGUCAAUGACUGACUGUUAGUGAAUGACUGACUGUUGGUCAAUGACUGACUGUUAGUGAAUGACUGACUGUUGGUCAAUUGUGUGUUACCCUUUUGUGCAGUGAUGGAAAACAUGUGCGGUUGCCAUUGCACCACAGCGUGCAAUGUGUGUCUAGUACUGGUCUUUAGCAAUAUGAAUUGUAUCUUCAGGUGUGUGUGUUCUGUCAUACUAUACAGUGUAUGUGUGCGAGGCUAAGGGGGACUGUAUGCUUCACGUGUCCUGAACAGAACAUUUGAGCAACCAAUCCUGGACUUGUUACUACAGUUGUGUUGUUGUUGUUUUUCUGUUGAGUUCUUUUGUCUCUUGGAUUCUGACUUCCUGUUUCCAUGUUCUCCUCCGUCUUGUUGAAACGUACCUGUGGGGAAACAACAUGUAAAAACACAUACAGACAUAUACAUACAAAAACACACAACAAAUAAGACAUGUAUGAAAUAUGUAUAUGUGUAAAAUAAAAGGUGUAUAUAAAAUGGUGUCAUCGUUA